RNAcentral lists this ribosomal RNA (433 nucleotides) under uncultured bacterium. RNAcentral describes it as "partial 16S ribosomal RNA". It matches the Rfam family "Bacterial small subunit ribosomal RNA", at positions 29 to 507 of the family's 1533-position model. The record is from RNAcentral.
AACGAACGCUGGCGGCAUGCCUAACACAUGCAAGUCGAACGAGACCUUCGGUUCUAGUGGCGCACGGUUGCGUAACGCGUGGUAACCUGCCCUUAGGUUCGGAAUAACUCCCCGAAAGGGGUCCUAAUACCGGCUAAUGUCUUCGGCCCAAAGCUUUUUCGCCUUUGGAUGGGCCCGCGUUGGAUUAGCUAGUUGGUAGGGGAAAAGCCUACCAAGGCGACGAUCCAUAGCUGGUCUGAGAGGAUGAUCAGCCACACUGGGACUGAGACACGGCCCAGACUCCUACGGGAGGCAGCAGUGGGGAAUAUUGGACAAUGGGCGAAAGCCUGAUCCAGCAAGGCCGCGAGAGUGAUGAAGGACUUAGGGUUGUAAAGCUCUUUUACACGGGAGGAUAAUGACAGUACCGGGAGAAUAAGCACCGGCUAACUCCGUG